GAGAGUGGUCUAACAAAUGCCUCUGUCAGGAUCAGCCACGGACAGAACUGCACCCCAGGAAAAACCCUAUGCUCCUCUGUUUUUACAGGUCUGAUGCCAAACUCAGAGCUGUGUCAUCUGUCAGAGCAAUUUGUUCUCAGGGAGGGAAGGAGAAGUUGUUUUCCAGCAGAAGCGGGUUGGCUGUGGCCACAGGAGCACACUGAAGCCUGUAGCAGCAGGGAACAGGAUUUAUCCUGGUGUGAUCCUCACACCAGCAGGAAGUUUGCAUCGGGAAUAUGCAGGGACCAUGAGAUGACAAGACUCAGAAAAACUAGUGAAGAAAACUCUCUCUGUGCACAGCAAUUGUACAAAGCAUUGGGAAGCACGCAGAGAAAAACUGCUGGAAGAAAAUGGCACAGUGUCUGAGUUUUGUAAGGAGAAAUGUAGCUGAAAUAGCCAUAGGCUGGAAGUGACUGGCUGCAAAUGGAAAAAAUCUGCUACACAUGUGCAGCUGAAACGCAGAGCCUGAGCAAGCCUGACUGCUCGCAGACUGGCUGAGAACUUCACUGAAGGAGAGAAGCCCAAACAGAUCCUGCUUAUCUAAACAAGAGGGUCCCAGAGGAGCUCCCUGGGCCUCUGCAGACAACCCCUGUCCCUUCAAAUCCAGGACGGACUUGCAGGUCCUGGAGAGUGUGCUGCAGUGCAGCCAGUUUGGUUCCUACCCACGGAGUGCUGUCUUUGGGACACCUUUUGGCAUUGACUCACUGCUAAGGAAGAAGCGACACACAAGUCACCUGUUCCACAAAGUGUCCCACUCACAGUGGUCACGUGGCACCAGGCUCCUGUCCCAUGACACAUUCUGGGUACAGCAACAGCAUGGCAUGGCCACCUUUGCCACAGAACCCCUGGAUGCAGAGCUCACGUGGCUGGUCCACCCCAUCGCACAACACCCCAUGCAGAGAGGAGCAGUGGCACCAGCUGUGGGUCCUGCAGUGUCCCAGGUACUGCCAGCCAUCAGCCUGUCCUGCCUGUCCCCAUGGCUUCAAAGUCAUUUGUGUCAUAAGCUGAGAGGUCUCAGGCUCACCAGACCUUCACUGUGAAGGCUUCAGUGCUUGGGGAUCAGAAAACAGCUGUUGGUGACGUCAAGAGCAAGGGGCACAGGAACUUGGUGUGAAUUAUCUUCUGCAUAACAAAGGUUCUUCUACAGCAUUUUGCAUCUAAUAGGACACCUUUUAAAGCACUAACAAACUAGAUGUUUCAAGUUCCCUUCUCUGGGGUCUGGAGCAUCUCUCUGAUGAGGAGAGACUGUGGGAGCCGGGCCUGUUUAG
Manacus vitellinus (golden-collared manakin) is the source of this 1307-nucleotide long non-coding RNA. RefSeq lists it as uncharacterized. The transcript has 7 exons. The record is from RefSeq and is a predicted model, not a curated record. Lineage: Eukaryota; Metazoa; Chordata; Aves; Passeriformes; Pipridae.